This 21-nucleotide small nuclear RNA is filed under the name Arabidopsis thaliana (thale cress). RNAcentral describes it as "snRNA_10366". Lineage: Eukaryota; Viridiplantae; Streptophyta; Magnoliopsida; Brassicales; Brassicaceae. The record is from RNAcentral.
GUGUACGUCUUGCCAAUAGGC